UUGGCGGGACCGCUCGGUCUCGAGCCGCUGGGGAUUCGUCCCAGGCGAGCGCCCGCCAGAGUUAAACCAAACUCUUGUUAUUUAACCGGUCGUCUGAGUUAAAAUUUUGAAUAAAUCAAAACUUUCAACAACGGAUCUCUUGGUUCUCGCAUCGAUGAAGAACGCAGCGAAAUGCGAUAAGUAAUGUGAAUUGCAGAAUUCAGUGAAUCAUCGAAUCUUUGAACGCACAUUGCGCCCCUUGGUAUUCCGAGGGGCAUGCCUGUUCGAGCGUCAUUA
This 276-nucleotide ribosomal RNA is filed under the name Aureobasidium pullulans. RNAcentral's name for it is "5.8S ribosomal RNA". The stretch from base 120 to 273 matches the Rfam family "5.8S ribosomal RNA". Rfam says of the family: 5.8S ribosomal RNA (5.8S rRNA) is a component of the large subunit of the eukaryotic ribosome. It is transcribed by RNA polymerase I as part of the 45S precursor that also contains 18S and 28S rRNA. Functionally, it is thought that 5.8S rRNA may be involved in ribosome translocation. Lineage: Eukaryota; Fungi; Ascomycota; Dothideomycetes; Dothideales; Saccotheciaceae. The record is from RNAcentral.